RNAcentral lists this ribosomal RNA (253 nucleotides) under uncultured bacterium. RNAcentral describes it as "partial 16S ribosomal RNA". It matches the Rfam family "Bacterial small subunit ribosomal RNA", at positions 524 to 776 of the family's 1533-position model. The record is from RNAcentral.
UACAGAGGGUGCGAGCGUUAAUCGGAAUUACUGGGCGUAAAGCGUGCGUAGACGGUUAUGUAAGUCGGGUGUGAAAGCCCCGGGCUCAACCUGGGAAUUGCAUUCGAGACUGCAUAGCUAGGAUGCGGAAGAGGGAAGCGGAAUUUCCGGUGUAGCGGUGAAAUGCGUAGAUAUCGGAAGGAACAUCAGUGGCGAAAGCGGCUUCCUGGUCCAGCAUCGACGGUCAGGCACGAAAGCGUGGGGAGCAAACAGG